AACUUUUUACAAUGUAUCUCGUGGCUCUCGCGUCGAUUAAGAACGCAGCGAAAUGCGAUAAGUAAUGUGAAUUGCAGAAUUCAGUGAAUCAUCGAAUUUUUGAACGCACCUUGCGCUCCCUGGUAUUCCGGGGAGCACGCCUGUUCGAGUGUCGUGAAAUUCUCAAACUGAGAUGCUUUCUUGUUUCUCGGCUUGUGGUUGGGCUUUGCAGUCCCAUUUGAUUGGGAUGGCUGGCCUCAAAAGCAUUAGCUGGCUUUUCAUGUGGCAUUGGUUCUACUCAGCGUGAUAAUGAUCUGACCGCCGAGGACAUCUUUCGAGAUGGCCAAUUCUCAUUUGGGCUGCUUCUAAUCUUGGUCGAGCAGAUUCUGAAUCUGUUCCACUUUUCAACUUUUGACCUCGAAUCAGGUGGGACUACCCGCUGAACUUAAGCAUAUCAAUAAGCGGAGGCU
RNAcentral lists this unclassified non-coding RNA (449 nucleotides) under uncultured Clavulina. RNAcentral's name for it is "sequence contains ITS2". The stretch from base 1 to 154 matches the Rfam family "5.8S ribosomal RNA". Lineage: Eukaryota; Fungi; Basidiomycota; Agaricomycetes; Cantharellales; Hydnaceae. The record is from RNAcentral.